This 503-nucleotide ribosomal RNA is filed under the name uncultured Burkholderia sp. RNAcentral's name for it is "partial 16S ribosomal RNA". The record is from RNAcentral. Lineage: Bacteria; Pseudomonadati; Pseudomonadota; Betaproteobacteria; Burkholderiales; Burkholderiaceae.
CACGUAGUUAGCCGGUGCUUAUUCUUCCGGUACCGUCAUCCGCCACGGGUAUUAACCACGGCGUUUUCUUUCCGGACAAAAGUGCUUUACAACCCGAAGGCCUUCUUCACACACGCGGCAUUGCUGGAUCAGGCUUUCGCCCAUUGUCCAAAAUUCCCCACUGCUGCCUCCCGUAGGAGUCUGGGCCGUGUCUCAGUCCCAGUGUGGCUGGUCGUCCUCUCAGACCAGCUACAGAUCGUCGCCUUGGUAGGCCUUUACCCCACCAACUAGCUAAUCUGCCAUCGGCCGCCCCUGUAGCGGGAGGUCCUAAGAUCCCCCCCUUUCUCCGUAGAGCGUAUGCGGUAUUAAUCCGGCUUUCGCCGGGCUAUCCCCCACUACAGGACACGUUCCGAUGUAUUACUCACCCGUUCGCCACUCGCCACCAGGGUUGCCCCCGUGCUGCCGUUCGACUUGCAUGUGUAAGGCAUGCCGCCAGCGUUCAAUCUGAGCCAGGAUCAAACUCU